GGCAGACUAGAGUCUUGUAGAGGGGGGUAGAAUUUCAGGUGUAGCGGUGAAAUGCGUAGAGAUCUGAAGGAAUACCAGUGGCGAAGGCGGCCCCCUGGACAAAGACUGACGCUCAGAUGCGAAAGCGUGGGUAGCAAACAGGAUUAGAUACCCUGGUAGUCCACGCCGUAAACGCUGUCUACUUGGAGGUUGAGGUUUAGACUUUGGCUUUCGGCGCUAACGCAUUAAGUAGACCGCCUGGGGAGUACGGCCGCAAGGUUAAAACUCAAAUGAAUUGACGGGGGCCCGCACAAGCGGUGGAGCAUGUGGUUUAAUUCGAUGCAACGCGAAGAACCUUACCUACUCUUGACAUCCAGUGAACUUUCCAGAGAUGGAUUGGUGCCUUCGGGAACACUGAGACAGGUGCUGCAUGGCUGUCGUCAGCUCGUGUUGUGAAAUGUUGGGUUAAGUCCCGCAACGAGCGCAACCCUUAUCCUUGUUUGCCAGCACGUAAUGGUGGGAACUCCAGGGAGACUGCCGGUGAUAAACCGGAGGAAGGUGGGGACGACGUCAAGUCAUCAUGGCCCUUACGAGUAGGGCUACACACGUGCUACAAUGGCAGAUACAGAGGGCAGCGAAGCUGCGAAGUGGAGCGAAUCCCUUAAAGUCUGUCGUAGUCCGGAUUGGAGUCUGCAACUCGACUCCAUGAAGUCGGAAUCGCUAGUAAUCGUGGAUCAGAAUGCCACGGUGAAUACGUUCCCGGGCCUUGCACACACCGCCCGU
RNAcentral lists this ribosomal RNA (762 nucleotides) under uncultured bacterium. RNAcentral describes it as "bacterial SSU rRNA". It matches the Rfam family "Bacterial small subunit ribosomal RNA", at positions 635 to 1397 of the family's 1533-position model. The record is from RNAcentral.